CUUGCUCACAGAGGUGAGAGGCUGCUGUUUUUUCUGUGACUGCAUAAAAAUGAUCAGUUAUCGCUUAAAAACAGAGCCCUCAUAACACAACAUCACACUUAUGGAAACUUUGUAAUUAAUCUGUGGCUCAGUCAGUGUUUAACAUUUGCAGCUAUAUUCCAUCCAAGCGCGUGCUGUGACGCUUUCCUCAAAG
Thalassophryne amazonica is the source of this 193-nucleotide long non-coding RNA. RefSeq lists it as uncharacterized. The transcript has 3 exons. Lineage: Eukaryota; Metazoa; Chordata; Actinopteri; Batrachoidiformes; Batrachoididae. The record is from RefSeq and is a predicted model, not a curated record.